Molecule: long non-coding RNA, 866 nt
Filed under: Elaeis guineensis (African oil palm)
Lineage: Eukaryota; Viridiplantae; Streptophyta; Magnoliopsida; Arecales; Arecaceae
Description: long non-coding RNA (EGUI_LNC008301)
Source: RNAcentral
UAAUAAACAAAGUACUAACUUCAGUAACAAAAAAACUAAAUUUCAAGAAAGGAAAAUAGCAACUUUCUUGUGAUGAGAUUUUUUGGAAAAAAAAGGAGAAAGAAAGAGGUUAAAUGGUGAAAAUCACCAUCUGGGUUUGCAACCACCAAAGCCUAGUCUGCAUGAUGCAAACCCUGCAACUUAAGGCAAUCAGUUCGAUUCCAUAGGAUGCUGAUCUUCCUUGAUCUCCUAGGGUCAGGGAUGCAUUUAUCACAUGAAAGAAGUAUUAAUCUUCUUUCAUGCAAAUUCACUGUUGGAUCAUCACUUGCUCACUUUGAGACCAUACCAAAAGACGAUGAUGGAAUUUGAAGCAUUUUGAGAUUUAUGUGAUUGGUGAUCUACCAAUGGAAUCAUGCAAAAGAUAGUGAAUCCUUCUUUUGUAUGAAAAAUGCAACCCAGUCUUGACCCCAGUAUUGCAAGUACUCAUUCUACCCAGGGACUUGCAAUCCAUCAUAAUGGAUUACUUUUGAACCCCCUUGUCCAUGAACCAACUUACACAACCAAACCGCACCUAAAAAAAAUAGGAAAAAAAAAUGCUAGCUGCAGAUGUUGAGCAAACCAUGCCUUUUCUAUUGGAAGUAGCGAACAAAUAGCAGUAGUUUACAUAAUCAAGUUGUAUCUUUCAUGCAAAAGAAGGAUUCACCUUCCUUCAUGUGAGUCCUCUGUUGGAUCAUCCAUUGCUUGUUUUGAUAUCUGUGUAGGACAAUGAGUGAUGGAAUUUGAAGCACUUUGAGAUUUGUGUGAUGGGUGAUCCAACAGUAGAUUCGUGACAAGGAAGGUGAUCUUCUUUUGCACGAAAGAUGCAAUCCAAAUCUAUGGUUCACUUA